ACCGGCGCCACAUCCGGUCAUGAAGUAACAGUAAUGUCCCGGUGAGGUGACAGCCAGCGGAAGUAAACAGAGAAAGGCCAGCAGCCGCUAACACACCCACGGCUGGAGGUUCCUGCGUGGAGGAGCUGGGAGACGGCCGCGUUGUCGCACCUCGGGUCGCUGAUUCAGCUGCUGGAAAACAAUGUCUUCCGUUCAGUAUCUGAAAGAGUUCAUCAGCGAAAGACUCACAGCUGCUGCUGCAGAAAUAUUCGGAGUGUUUGAGAAAACCAUCGUCCAGUACGAGGAGGAGAUCGACCGUCAGCGCAGGCUGCUGGAUGUUAGCCAGAAACCUCAGAGAAAGUUAAAAACAGCAGAUGUUCCACAGCAACAUGUGUGUCAGGAGGAGGAUGAGGAGGUGGAGGAAGUUCCUCCCGACCAGCUUUCUAACCAAGAGAAGAACCCCAUUCUGGACCAAGAGGAACCAGAUCUUCCCCAGGUUAAAGAAGAACAGGAGGAAUUCUGCACCAAUCAGGAAGGAGAGCCUUUUGUACUGAAGGAGGAGAGCGAUGCCUUCAUGGUGACACUUACGUAUGAGGAAAGUGACCACAGUGAUCCAGAACCAAACGACGACCAGCUCCAAGAUCAGGAUCGGGAAGGAAGUGAGGAUGCAGACUUGGGAUCGAGCAGCAGUACGGAGAUGAAGGCAAAACAAAGAUGUCCAGGUAUCAGCACCAGUAACGAUGAAGAUGACCCGUGUUCCAUGUCAGAGAGUCACUGUGACGCUGACGUUGGCAGCGUUUCAUUAAAAUGUGGCGUUUGUGGUAAAGUGUUUAAGAAUAAGUACCACCUGAAGAUGCAUCACAGAAUCCACACCGGCGUGAAGCCGUAUGCGUGCAGUGACUGCGGAAAACGGUUCAACGACGCGUCCACGCUGAAAUACCACACCAGAACUCACACGGGCGAGAAGCCGUACUCCUGCCAAACAUGCGGGAAAAGUUUCCGAUGUAGUUACAGCGUUUUAGUCCACAUGCGAACCCACACGGGGGAGAAGCCGUACCUUUGCAACACCUGCGGAAAAAGAUUCACGAACUUAUCAGCUUUUAAGUGGCACACAGCCAUCCACACCGGAGAGAAGCGCUACUCCUGCAAGAUAUGCGGGAAAAGUUUCACGCAAAGCGGCAAUCUGACCGCUCACAUGGGAACACACACGGGGGAGAAGCGCUAUUCCUGCAAAAUCUGCGAGAAGAGCUUCAGCCGGAGCAGCAACCUGAUUGUCCACAUGAGAACACACACCGGCGAAAAGCCGUACCCCUGCAACACCUGCGGAGAACGCUUCAAAUACGCGUCCGCGCUGAAAAAGCACAUGAGAACUCACGCAGAGGACGAGUCCUUCUCCUGCGAAACGUGUGGGAGAGGUCCUGCAAGCAGCAGCUCCUCCGUUCGAAGCACUCCUCACGCGGGGGAGGAGUGUAGCCCCGAGACGUCCACGGGGGAAAUGGUUUGGGUGGCAAAGCCUGAAGAAAACGUGUGAAAAGUUGUACGUGUUGAAAGUGGAGCCUUCAGAUUCAGCUUGAAAGCGUUUUGCAUGUUAAUGGUCUGUUUGUCUGUGUUCAUGAGGGGAAACUUACCGAAGCGCUGCAGAGCUGAAGACCCCCAGAACCCGAGGAAACCGGGGACAUGGUGCUACCAGACUUCAUAUUAUAAACAUGAGCUGGAAUAUCAGUGUGAAUUUAUUUAAAUCCUUUUCAGAUUUUUGGUUCAUUUUACGUUCAGUACAGUCAUGUGUGUGAUGAUAAACUGCGAUGGACUGGGACCUGUCCAGGUGCACCUGCCUCUCGCCUGUUCCUGGCUGGGUUAGGCUCCAGCUUCGACGCAACCUUUAACUGGAAGAAGCGUAACACCGGAAUCCUCAGAAAACAGAUCUCUUUCCAUCCACAUGCAGACCACCGCUAAAGGUUUGUACCUUAAAGGUGAAGAGAUACCUGGUCAGUUAAAUCUCUUUUAGCUUGUCUUCAGGACUUUAAAGCACGGAUGGCCUUUAUCUUUUUAAACUAGUGUGUUUGGACCUGGUGGCUCAUGCGGAGCUGGUUAUAGGUCUUGGGUUCAGACUGGACAGGCAGCAGUUGGAGAUCCGUACCUUUGUACCCUGGUGGCUGGAUUACUGGAACUGCCUCUGCAAGUCCGUCCUCACUGCACAUCUGCUGCGCUUUAGAGUCUAUUUUAAAAUCCUCGUGUUUGCUUUUAAAGUUUUAAAUGUCCGUGCUGCACCAUAUUUAUCUGAGCUUCCCCACCGCUUCAUUCCUUCUUGGACCCUCAGGUCAGCUGAUCAGCUGCUGGUUGUCCCUGGUUCUGAUUGGGAGCUCAGAAGGGGCGGGGCCUUCUGCGUACCUGGACCUGAAACAACUUCGCUUUGAUCCACCUGCCAAGCUCACACACUGUCCGUUUAUAAAACCCAUCUUCAAAAUCACGUUCACUCAUUAGCCUCGAAUCUAACAUGAGAUUUGAUCUUAUUUGUUUUUUAAUUUAUUUUUAUCUAGUUUUUAUUGACAAUUUGAUUUUUUUUAUUUGACUACUUUUAUUAGGUUUUAUUAAUUUUUAUUUGUAAAAAUUUGGUGUUAUUUUAAUCAUUUUUAAUUUGGUCUACAUUGUAUGCUCAGCGCGUUGCUCAGCUGUGGCUGCUGUUAAAGAGCUUUGUAAAUAAGUGAUGAUGAUGAUGAAGAAGAAAAAUGUGAUGAUUACACUGACAGGCUGCUUUUAGAGGAAAAUGUGAUGUCUGUUUAAUUUCAUGUAGAGCUGAAGUUAUUUAUUUUAAAAAAGCACACACACAUAGUUUGUCUGCAGUUGGAUCAACGGUAUUUAUUUUCUACCUGAACGGCCUUUAUCUUAUUAGCCUCGAACUUCUUCCUGGAACCAGGCCCAGAGAACAAAAACUGUUUGGCCCAGAUCUGGCCUUGACUUAAAGGUUGACUAAAUCUGAGUGUGUCUUCCAAAACUCAGUCACAUGACCACCACAUGUCACAUGUGGCCCACGGGAGACUUCCUGCAAGCCAAGCCAGCCUGGAAACGGACAUCUGGCCCACUUCUGGCCCACACAACACUUGCCAGUGAUGCAGAGUGGAAAUAUUAAGGCAUCCUAAAUUCUAAUCCAGACAUCGUCCAGCAGAAGUGCUUCAGCAAUGGUCAUUUUUCUUUCUUUUUGUCAUUUGUUCGGUUUGUAUUUUCUGUUAUGUUUGCUGCAGGAACAUGUAGGCUUGUGAGCUACAUUACGUCAUCAGCCUGUACUCAGUGUGUGUGUGUGUGCUGCUAGUUCAUGUGUGUAUUG
Molecule: RNA transcript, 3301 nt
Organism: Melanotaenia boesemani (Boeseman's rainbowfish)
Lineage: Eukaryota; Metazoa; Chordata; Actinopteri; Atheriniformes; Melanotaeniidae
Gene name: zinc finger protein 391-like
Exons: 3
Source: RefSeq, a predicted model, not a curated record